This 763-nucleotide ribosomal RNA is filed under the name uncultured bacterium. Its description in RNAcentral is "bacterial SSU rRNA". It matches the Rfam family "Bacterial small subunit ribosomal RNA", at positions 65 to 823 of the family's 1533-position model. The record is from RNAcentral.
GACGGCAGCACGGGAGCAAUCCUGGUGGCGAGUGGCGAACGGGUGAGUAAUGUAUCGGAACGUACCUUUCAGUGGGGGAUAACGUAGCGAAAGUUACGCUAAUACCGCAUAUUCUGUGAGCAGGAAAGCAGGGGAUCGCAAGACCUUGCGCUGAUUGAGCGGCCGAUAUCAGAUUAGCUAGUUGGUGAGGUAAAGGCUCACCAAGGCGACGAUCUGUAGCGGGUCUGAGAGGAUGAUCCGCCACACUGGAACUGAGACACGGUCCAGACUCCUACGGGAGGCAGCAGUGGGGAAUUUUGGACAAUGGGGGCAACCCUGAUCCAGCCAUGCCGCGUGAGUGAAGAAGGCCUUCGGGUUGUAAAGCUCUUUCAGCCGGGAAGAAAACGCAUGGGUUAAUACCCUGUGUGGAUGACGGUACCGGAAUAAGAAGCACCGGCUAACUACGUGCCAGCAGCCGCGGUAAUACGUAGGGUGCGAGCGUUAAUCGGAAUUACUGGGCGUAAAGCGUGCGCAGGCGGUUUGUUAAGAUAGGCGUGAAAUCCCCGGGCUCAACCUGGGAACUGCGUUUAUGACUGGCAGGCUAGAGUAUGGCAGAGGGGGGUGGAAUUCCACGUGUAGCAGUGAAAUGCGUAGAGAUGUGGAGGAACACCGAUGGCGAAGGCAGCCCCCUGGGCCAAUACUGACGCUCAUGCACGAAAGCGUGGGUAGCAAACAGGAUUAGAUACCCUGGUAGUCCACGCCCUAAACGAUGUCAACUAGGUGU